Molecule: long non-coding RNA, 1715 nt
Filed under: Gopherus agassizii (Agassiz's desert tortoise)
Lineage: Eukaryota; Metazoa; Chordata; Testudines; Testudinidae
Description: lncRNA (ENSGAGG00000003122.1)
Source: RNAcentral
CACCGCUCUCGCACGGCCUCUCUGGUCCUGCCCAGCGCCCGCCCCGCGCGCCGAGCUGCUCCGCCCCCGCUUCAACCUGGAGCCGGUGGCCGCCGCGCCUUCCUCGGCCCUUCCCAGCCUGCGUCCCCUCACCUCGCAGCCACAGGCUCCUGAGUCCUUAAAGGCGCAGCAGCCCGCGCCCGGCCUUUGCAACCACACAGGCGCAUCGCCAGCCCAGCGAGGAGCCGCAGCCUCCCAGCCUGCGCNCGCAUCGCCAGCCCAGCGAGGAGCCGCAGCCUGCGGUUGGGGCGACAGGGCGGGGGACGAGGUUGCUUCGAAGGGGCCCAGAAGUGUGUAGCGAUGGGUUGCAGUGGUGUCGUUCGUGCAGAUCGGGAACAGAGAAGAGGUCCCUCCUUGCACGUGUGUGUAGCAGACAUGGAAAUACGGCACGAAAGAGGGAAGUGUACAAGAGUUUACUAUACAUUUUCUCUUCUUCCACCAGCCCAUGACAGAGGGAGGAAUCAAGGCUCAACUAUUCUCUUCUCCAACCUCAAAAUCCUGAAUGUCUCCUUAUCCUUUAUGGUGCCAAACUCGUUGGAAGAAGAGGGCUGAAUUCUUCAUUUAAUUAUGGUUCAUGGCCCAUGGUAUAAAUUCGGGACUAUAUACUCUCAAUAAGACAUUGACGUCAAUUGGCAGUUUGCACAGAUAUUGUGGAAAGGAUAUGGUCUUUAUGCAGUAACUAAAUGUUUUGUUAUUUGUUCUGUACCUUAUUGUGACAUUCAUCUUCAGUAUGCACCCUUUUUGUUUUAAAUAUGUUCCAGUUUAAGCCUACUGUUGUUUAUGCUCUUUGUUUCUCCUUCCUUUCUCAAUUUCUUCUCAUUCCCUUGUCUUUGGGAAUCUCCUCUGUUCUCUGCAUUCUCUUCUUCCCUGCAGAAAUUCCAGGCUGCACUCCCAUCCUCUUCCCAACCUGCCAACUAAAAUGAUCGGUGAUUAAAUAGUUGAUGAUGGCACUGAAGGGUCAUCCAAAGCAGUGGUUCUCAACCUUUUUUUACCCAGAGACCCCUAAACUUAAAUUGACAAACUUGCAGAACCCCAACUCCCCAUCAUUAUUUUGUUGCUCAUAAUUUCUUUCACAUUUUAAUAGUUAUCCUGAAUAUUACCGUAGAGAAAUUAUUUGAACAGAUCAACAAAACACAGCAAGUUAAAAUACUGAUAGCUUAUUAAUGCCAGAGAAGUUUUCAAACUGUGGGGCAUGGCCAUCUAGGGAGGCUCAGGGAGGGAGCGCCACCUCCACUCCCUGACUCACUCCAGUGAGCCACCCAGCAGAAAUCGAGGGUGAGGCCAUGACCAAAAAUUGCAGCAUCACUGCAGAAGAGAGAUCUCCUCCUGCCAUCAGAAGGGGUUGCCUCACAGCCAUUGACUCCACAGGCAGCAGCUAGCCAAGGAGACACACCACUGCUCUGCUUUGCUGCAUCAGCACUUCAGGGAGCAUGGCCAAAUGUGCCCCCUCUCACACAUCACCCCUGGUUGCUGAUACAUUUGUGGACCCUCUGGACUAUACUGGCGGACCCUUACCAGUGUGAAGACCACAGGUUGAAAACCACUGCAAAAUCUAUAUUCCAGUCAGCUUUAGAUUAUUACCAAUGCAGCUAGAAAAUCGAAGCUGAGAUUCUGGAGAAUCUAAAUAGGUCAUGGUGACCACGUAAAUAAAUUAUGUGCUGGCCAUAUGUUUGACA